GGAAGAGAUAAGUGCUGAAAGCAUCUAAGCACGAAACUUGCCCCGAGAUGAGUUCUCCCUGAGACUUUAAGUCUCCUGAAGGAACGUUGAAGACGACGACGUUGAUAGGCCGGGUGUGUAAGCGCAGCGAUGCGUUGAGCUAACCGGUACUAAUGAACCGUGAGGCUUAACCUUACAACGCCGAAG
This 186-nucleotide ribosomal RNA is filed under the name Klebsiella pneumoniae. Its description in RNAcentral is "partial 23S ribosomal RNA". It matches the Rfam family "Bacterial large subunit ribosomal RNA", at positions 2757 to 2925 of the family's 2925-position model. The record is from RNAcentral. Lineage: Bacteria; Pseudomonadati; Pseudomonadota; Gammaproteobacteria; Enterobacterales; Enterobacteriaceae.